Molecule: microRNA precursor, 162 nt
Filed under: Podarcis lilfordi (Lilford's wall lizard)
Lineage: Eukaryota; Metazoa; Chordata; Lepidosauria; Squamata; Lacertidae
Source: RNAcentral
GCCUAUGAAUCCCAGCACCCUUCUUGAACUAUAGUUACUAUGAUGGCAUCUUUGUGUACAAUGUAAUGCAGUAAGCUCCAUAUCAGCCCUACUGCAUUACAUAGACACAAAGAUAUUAUCAUAGUAACUAUAGUUCAAGAAGGGUGCUGGGAUUCAUAGGCU